Molecule: transfer RNA, 73 nt
Filed under: Kennedia prostrata (running-postman)
Lineage: Eukaryota; Viridiplantae; Streptophyta; Magnoliopsida; Fabales; Fabaceae
Description: tRNA-Glu
Source: RNAcentral
UUUUAUUAAUGACUGGAAUAAAACGAAACAAUUUCGAAAUCUAAAUGAUGAAUCCAAAAAUUCUAUGGAAUUU